This 588-nucleotide ribosomal RNA is filed under the name Triticum aestivum (bread wheat). RNAcentral describes it as "partial small subunit ribosomal RNA". The record is from RNAcentral. Lineage: Eukaryota; Viridiplantae; Streptophyta; Magnoliopsida; Poales; Poaceae.
AUGUGUUGCUUGUCACAUGGCUUCAUAUCGAGCUAUAUCUCAGAGAUUCAGUUUUUGGAGAAGUCAGAGAAUGAGAAGCAUGCACCAGCUCCCAGAUCGACGGAGUGGAUCCCUCCUCUAGAUCAUCAUGUGAAAAUCAACGUUGAUGCGGCAGUUGCGAGACAUGGUGGGUUUGGGGCAGUAGCAGCUAUCUGCAGAGACAGUAGCGGGGAGUACCAGGGAGCGUCAGUGAUCCGUUUCAACAACAUCGAUGACCCAGAGACUUUGGAGACCUUGGCAAUUCGUGAAGCUCUGGCACUAGCGGAUGACUUGCUCUACGACAGUAUUUCAGUGGCGUCAGACUGUAAAGUUGCCGUUGAAGCGAUCAAGAAAGGCACAAGUGCACAAUAUGGGGCCGUGGUGCAUGAAAUCAUAGACCGUUCUAGUAUUUUUUCUUCUUGUUUGAUCAAUCAUGAAUUUAGGACCUCGAAUGUUGAGGCUCACAAGCUUGCAAAGCAGGCGUUAUCCCUGGGUUUUGGCCGCCAUGUUUGGUUAGGUCACCCAGGAAAUUUGGAUUUCGUCCCUGUAAACAUUGUGACGGGUGAAUAA